GGGAGACCCACUUUCCUCAUUUAACAGUUCGUAGGAGAUACAAUGUAAGUAUCACAAAUUUCUCUUUCAUUAUGGUUCUUCCUCUUAAACUACUUCACUCUCAGGCUUUUGAAGAUUAAGGGAGAGAGCAAAAACUUUUGUAAAAGUAUUUAAGGCCAUCAUUUAAAAAAAUUGUAAGUGCUUCAUCCAGGAGAGUUAGAGUAGAUGUAUUUCAGCAUAUAUCUUUUAUUAUGUAUGAAAUCUCUGCACACUGCAGUACUGUGUAUCUCCUUCCAUCUGCUUUUACCUUUUUUCCAGCUGAAUUUUCACUAUCAGAAAGUUCUCUCACUGCUAAACAAACUCCUGUUUCAUAGUUUGUAUCUAGCAUUUAUAUCUGUGGUGGUCUUCCGUUUCAUGUUCCCUCUGUAUCCUACGGGUCACUCAUUUGGCUUUGUUUUCUGGGUUUUUCCCUAGCAUACCACACAACUAUUUGGAGAGCAAGUUUUAUAAGAAUGAAUCUACUGUGCUUUGUUCUCAUGCAGCAUUUUAAAUAGUAAAAUAGAAUUUCAAAGGAUUAUCGGGUCCAGGAUAGCAGAGCUGUAUAGAAAAGCUCUUUCUUUGUAUUAAUAACAGGUAGAAAUUAUUUCAUGAUUGCCUGGUGCAGCACCUAAAGACACAUAGCAUAUUAAAAAUGUGAAUACUUGUCUGAGUAUGAAAAAUUAAAUAUAUUCUGUAAUCCUUUCAAAUGUAACACACAACCCAAGAACUUAGUUCAGCUAACUCAUCAUCGUCUGAUAACAAAACAUGAAACAUUAAAAAUUUCAGACCAAACAUUUGAAUAAUUUAUUCAUCACUAAACCACCUGUUAAUGGCUGAUUCAUGCUGUCUUUACAUAGUGUGUGCAGAACAUCUUUAAAGUUGGUGAGGUCACACGAACUUUACAACUUACCUGUAUCAAACUAGUUUUUAAAUAUAGAAACUGCUGAAAUGUAGUUACUGUAUGUAAAAAUUCAGUAAUAGCAACUGCUACAUUUAAUAUCUGCUGUGUGAACACUAAAUCUGUAGAAACUGCAUUUGAUGAAAGCAGAUUUGCAGUAAGAAAGGCUAGAAAAAGCCACCUGCAGGUGUACCUGUCUGAAACAACAACAAGGGAAGCGAGAAGAAAAGUCCCAUGUCUGUGUCCGAGCUCAGAAGCUGCUGUAAUAAAUACUUCCCUGGUGUCACCAGUGAUCUAGUACUCUCCAGAGGGGCCUCGAGGGCAGCCGCAUUUCGGAGGGAGACUGGCCAGGGGGGCCACUUUCUAACUGAAGGGGCAGUAUACAUAAUGAAGUUGACCUGUAUGGAGGUGCUUGCAUUCUUCUGGUGCGCCUUUGCUCCAUGGAACCAGUCAAAUGAGGGAACAGCACACGACUGCACAUGAGGACAGGGUCACCGUGCUGGAGGGCCGGACCUGUGUGGUUUGUGGGGUUUGAGGGUUCAGAAAAUUUCCGCAUAUGUAGUGAGAUGUUUUGGAGAUGGAAUUGAAGCCUGAGGAUGAAAUUCAUUUAUGUCGUACAUACCUUACUCCCACAGCCUGGAGGUGAUUUCAUACAGCACAGCAAUUUUACCAGCCUGCAUUUUAUUGCCAACCAUCUCGUGAAGUCAGAUGGGGAAUCCUGGACGCGUGUUUUCAUGUCAGUGCUCAGGAAGUUUCAGACUUUGGAGCUUUUUGGAUUUCACAUUUUUGGAUUAAGGAUCCUCAAACUGUGGUAGAAGUAUUAGAACAGUCAUGGCAGAAGUCAUACCCAGCAUUACUGGGGGCUUAUGACAGAUGAGAUGUACUGAACACACU
RNAcentral lists this long non-coding RNA (1810 nucleotides) under Heterocephalus glaber (naked mole-rat). RNAcentral describes it as "lncRNA (ENSHGLG00000039331.1)". The record is from RNAcentral. Lineage: Eukaryota; Metazoa; Chordata; Mammalia; Rodentia; Bathyergidae.